GGUUCGAUUAUGGCUCAGAUUGAACGCUGGCGGGGAUGCUUUACACAUGCAAGUCGAACGGCAGCACGGACUUCGGUCUGGUGGCGAGUGGCGAACAGGUGAGUAAUGUAUCGGAACGUGCCUAGUAGCGGGGGAUAACUACGCGAAAGCGUAGCUAAUACCGCAUACGCCCUUCGGGGGAAAGCGGGGGACCUUCGGGCCUCGCACUAUUAGAGCGGCCGAUAUCGGAUUAGCUAGUUGGUGGGGUAACGGCUCACCGAGGCGACGAUCCGUAGCUGGUUUGAGAGGACGACCAACCACACUGGGACUGAGACACGGCCCAGACUCCUACGGGAGGCAGCAGUGGGGAAUUUUGGACAAUGGAAACCCUGAUCCAGCCAUCCGCGUGUGCGAUGAAGGCCUUCCGGGUUGUAAAGCACUUUUGGCAGGAAAGAAACGGCACGGGAUAAUACCCCGUGCAGCGGCAGGUACCUGCAGAAUAAGCACCGGCUAACUACGUGCCAGCAGCCGCGGUAAUACGUAGGGUGCAAGCGUUAAUCGGAAUUACUGGGCGUAAAGCGUGCGCAGGCGGUUCCGGAAAGAAAGAUGUGAAAUCCCAGAGCUUAACUUUGGAACUGCAUUUUUAACUACCGAGCUGAGAGUGUGUCAGGGAGGUGGAAUUCCACGCGUGUAGCAGUGAAAUGCGUAGAUAUGCACGGAGGAACACCGAUGGCGAAGGCAGCCUCCUGGGAUAACACUGACGCUCAUGCACGAAAGCGUGGGGAGCAAACAGGAUUAGAUACCCUGGUAGUCCACGCCCUAAACGAUGUCAACUAGCUGUUGGGGCCUUCGGGCCUUGGUAGCGCAGCUAACGCGUGAAGUUGACCGCCUGGGGAAUACGGUCGCAAGAUUAAAACUCAAAGGAAUUGACGGGGACCCGCACAAGCGGUGGAUGAUGUGUGGAUUAAUUCGAUGCAACGCGAAAACCUUACCUACCCUUGACAUGUCUGGAAUCCCGAAGAGAUUUGGGAGUGCUCGCAAGAGAACCGGAACACAGGUGCUGCAUGGCUGUCGUCAGCUCGUGCCGUGAGAUGUUGGGUUAAGUCCGCAACGAGCGCAACCCUUGUCAUUAGUUGCUACGAAAGGGCACUCUAAUGAGACUACCGGUGACAAACCGGAGGGGAAGGUGGGGAUGACGUCAAGUCCUCAUGGCCCUUAUGGGUAGGGCUUCACACGUCAUACAAUGGUCGGGACAGAGGGUCGCCAACCCGCGAGGGGGAGCCAAUCCCAGAAACCCGAUCGUAGUCCGGAUCGCAGUCUGCAACUCGACUGCGUGAAGUCGGAAUCGCUAGUAAUCGCGGAUCAGCAUGUCGCGGUGAAUACGUUCCCGGGUCUUGUACACACCGCCCGUCACACCAUGGGAGUGGGUUUUACCAGAAGUAGUUAGCCUAACCGUAAGGAGGGCGAUUACCACGGUAGAGGAUUCAUGACUGGGGUGAAGUCGUAACAAGGUAG
This 1494-nucleotide ribosomal RNA is filed under the name uncultured Bordetella sp. RNAcentral's name for it is "partial 16S-23S ribosomal RNA intergenic spacer". It matches the Rfam family "Bacterial small subunit ribosomal RNA". Lineage: Bacteria; Pseudomonadati; Pseudomonadota; Betaproteobacteria; Burkholderiales; Alcaligenaceae. The record is from RNAcentral.